RNAcentral lists this ribosomal RNA (465 nucleotides) under uncultured bacterium. RNAcentral's name for it is "bacterial SSU rRNA". It matches the Rfam family "Bacterial small subunit ribosomal RNA", at positions 28 to 507 of the family's 1533-position model. The record is from RNAcentral.
GACGAACGCUGGCGGCGUGCCUAACACAUGCAAGUCGAACGGAGAUAGGUUGAAGGUUUACCGGAUUCUUAUCUUAGUGGCGGACGGGCGAGUAACGCGUGAGCAACCUGCCCCAGACUGGGGGAUAACGUCGGGAAACCGGCGCUAAUACCGCAUAACACUGCGAAGCCGCAUGGUUUUGCAGUCAAAGCUCCGGCGGUUUGGGAUGGGCUCGCGUCCAAUUAGCUAGUUGGUGAGGUAACGGCCCACCAAGGCGACGAUUGGUAGCCGAACUGAGAGGUUGAUCGGCCGCAUUGGGACUGAGACACGGCCCAGACUCCUACGGGAGGCAGCAGUGGGGAAUAUUGCGCAAUGGGGGAAACCCUGACGCAGCAACGCCGCGUGAAGGAAGAAGGCCUCGGGUUGUAACUCUUGAUCGGGACGAAGAUGACGGUACCCGAGGAACAAGCCACGGCUAACUACGUG